GAAUGCUGACAUAAGUAACGAUAAAGCGGGUGAAAAGCCCGCUCGCCGGAAGACCAAGGGUUCCUGUCCAACGUUAAUCGGGGCAGGGUGAGUCGACCCCUAAGGCGAGGCCGAAAGGCGUAGUCGAUGGGAAACGGGUUAAUAUUCCCGUACUUGGUGUUACUGCGAAGGGGGGACGGAGAAGGCUAUGUUGGCCGGGCGACGGUUGUCCCGGUUUAAGCGUGUAGGUGUGUGUUCCAGGUAAAUCCGGUUCACUUUAACACUGAGGCGUGACGACGAGGCACUACGGUGCUGAAGCAACAAAUGCCCUGCUUCCAGGAAAAGCCUCUAAGCAUCAGGUAACACG
RNAcentral lists this ribosomal RNA (346 nucleotides) under Salmonella enterica subsp. enterica serovar Typhimurium. RNAcentral describes it as "partial 23S ribosomal RNA". It matches the Rfam family "Bacterial large subunit ribosomal RNA", at positions 1292 to 1638 of the family's 2925-position model. Lineage: Bacteria; Pseudomonadati; Pseudomonadota; Gammaproteobacteria; Enterobacterales; Enterobacteriaceae. The record is from RNAcentral.